UAAUUCUAAAUAAGUGGCAGUUGUGAUGGUGGCUAUGAGGGUAUCUGCUAAAAAAAAAAUGCUAUAAACGUGGCUGCACUUGCAGACCAUCCGUUAGCAUUAAUAAAUAAACGAGUAAACAUAUGUAGCCUAGCCUUCAUAGUGUUCAACUAUCCCUUACGCAAGUUUGGAUGUAAUUUGAAGUGUGCUUUUCUCUGUGUGUCUGUAUACUUGUCUGUCUCCCAAAUUCACCUCACUUUAUCUCUGUCUUUGCAACUGCACAUCCAGACACCAUGCAGCGUGUGCAGCCGCCAUCCUCUUUUUUCAGAUCGCCUUCUCGGUCCACGGAAAUACUGUACUGUUUGGGGGAUCCUGAACGACAGGAACGGCCACGCAUCUGAGUCAAAUUCCAGACGCUCAUGCUAAUUGACCACAUCCGUGCUGAAGUCUGCCGUCUUCUUAACGCCGGCAUUGUGACCGAGGCCGGCCUUCUGCAUCACAGCCUAGAGAGCAGACGCACGGUGCUGGAAGGAGUCUGGCCCAGACGUGGCCCAGUGCCGGGCUCCUGUCUGGGAGGGGCUGGGGCUUAUUAUAGCCCGAGCGGAGGGACACAGCCGCACGGAAAGUCACCGCAGAUUAAAACAGAACAACGGGAGCAUUCUGUCGGCAUCUGAUAAUGUGGAGCGGAGCCUGGGAAAAGUGGAUGAUUAACGUCUGUCGGCGGCGACUAGCAACUGGAGGUGAGGUCACGGCGUAUCGGUGCGUGCGACAAUGCCCAUUGUUCCCUCCUGCUUCGCAGGAAGUGGGCGCGCGGGACUUCCUGUGACCAGUGCGAUUGUUCCAGGUAGGGGCCCAGCGGUCCCCUGGGGCGCCUUCAGUUUCCCUGCCAUGUGACACACACACAUGCAUAUACACACAUAAAUAUGCAUACACACGUUCACACUUGUGUACAAAAAUAACAGUAACAGACAUUCACACUUGUGUACAAAAAUACGC
Long non-coding RNA from Clupea harengus (Atlantic herring), 975 nucleotides. The record is from Ensembl. Lineage: Eukaryota; Metazoa; Chordata; Actinopteri; Clupeiformes; Clupeidae.